RNAcentral lists this microRNA (22 nucleotides) under Tribolium castaneum (red flour beetle). RNAcentral describes it as "tca-miR-3818-5p". Lineage: Eukaryota; Metazoa; Arthropoda; Insecta; Coleoptera; Tenebrionidae. The record is from miRBase by way of RNAcentral.
UUCCUUUCGUUCCAAUGAUGCU